UACGGAGGAUGCGAGCGUUGUCCGGAAUGACUGGGCGUAAAGGGCGUGUAGGCGGUUCUUUAAGUUUGGAGUGAAAGUCCCGCAUUCAAUGUGGGAAUUGCUUUGAAUACUGGAGGACUUGAGUGCGGAAGAGGUAAGUGGAAUUCCCAGUGUAGCGGUGAAAUGCGUAGAGAUUGGGAGGAACACCAGUGGCGAAGGCGACUUACUGGGCCGUAACUGACGCUGAGGCGCGAAAGCGUGGGGAGCGAAC
This 250-nucleotide ribosomal RNA is filed under the name uncultured prokaryote. RNAcentral's name for it is "partial 16S ribosomal RNA". It matches the Rfam family "Bacterial small subunit ribosomal RNA", at positions 524 to 773 of the family's 1533-position model. The record is from RNAcentral.